Molecule: ribosomal RNA, 497 nt
Filed under: uncultured bacterium
Lineage: Bacteria
Description: partial 16S ribosomal RNA
Rfam family: Bacterial small subunit ribosomal RNA
Source: RNAcentral
GAUGAACGCUGGCGGCGUGCCUAAUACAUGCAAGUCGAGCGAACAGAUAAGGAGCUUGCUCCUUUGACGUUAGCGGCGGACGGGUGAGUAACACGUGGAUAACCUACCUAUAAGACUGGGAUAACUUCGGGAAACCGGAGCUAAUACCGGAUAACAUAUUGAACCGCAUGGUUCAAUAGUGAAAGGCGGCUUUGCUGUCACUUAUAGAUGGAUCCGCGCCGUAUUAGCUAGUUGGUAAGGUAACGGCUUACCAAGGCAACGAUACGUAGCCGACCUGAGAGGGUGAUCGGCCACACUGGAACUGAGACACGGUCCAGACUCCUACGGGAGGCAGCAGUAGGGAAUCUGCCGCAAUGGGCGAAAGCCUGACGGAGCAACGCCGCGUGAGUGAUGAAGGUCUUCGGAUCGUAAAACUCUGUUAUCAGGGAAGAACAAAUGUGUAAGUAACUGUGCACAUCUUGACGGUACCUGAUCAGAAAGCCACGGCUAACUACGUG